AUGAUAUAUAAGGUCAAAAAGUUUAGAAAAUAUUAACAAAUGAAUCAGAAGCAUAAAAUCAGAGAGGUCCAUAGGAAAAUAGUGCAAAAAGCAAACAAACAAACAAAAAAAACAAAAAACUGAUGGCCUGAAUUAAGACACAAGAAUAGGGGAGAAAAGAGAGAUACCUGCCUAUUCUUGCGAUAAGGAAAUAGCAAUGAUUGACUAAAUGUGAAAAGAGAGAGGGAUGAGGAAAAUGAGUCUAGGGCAUUGGUUAUAUGGUUUGAUGGAGCUCAGACUCAAGGAGAAACUUAUCAAAUGGAUGCCACAGACCUGGGAAUUAAAAACAAAGAUCUUUUGAUAAAAAGUUUGAGUGAAAAUGUAGCAGAGAGGGAUAAGGUGGAAGAAGACCUGUGAAUAGUGAACCUUGAGACUCAUCCCUGUCCUAACUCAACCAUAAUGGUUCAGUUUUAUCUGUUUUCUAUUUUGGAGUUUGAUACAUUGGGUUCAGUACCCAGUUCUGAGAAAUCAAUAUUUAAGGGCAGGAAAAAACAUACAAAAUAUAAACAGUAUAUAAAAAAUAAAGAUUUAUACUUUGUUUGAAAAUUGAAACCAAAGUAACCAAGGUUUGCCUAGUUUUAAAAGCAUUUCUUUCAUUUGGAUGCAUCUUAGGAACAGUCAUAAUGUUGACAAGGAAUUUGUAGAGUCCAUGAAAGUUCUGAUGUCAAUAACAACAUUUUAUUCUUGAUGAAAGCUAACCUAUUUACACACAAGAGAAACUAAUUUUUUAAAUGGCAAAGAAAGUUCUAUACAUUAGACUAAGAUGAGCAUAUUUCCCUCAUUAUCUUUAGAUACUGCCAAUUUCCUAAGGAUAGAAUUUUUUGGAAUGCCAUCCUAUCUCCAAAAAGUAUAUUGCUAAAACAUGUCUGUGGAGUCUAUAGCUAAUCACCAAUAUAAGAUAACUAUUCUUUUCAUUAUCAUGACUUCUUGCUUCUCUAUAGCUACAUGCUUCCCUAAAAGUGGACUUAAUACACCAUACACAUAAACUUGAAACAUUGCCAAAGGAAUAUCAAGUGGUUGUCUCUCCAGAGUCUUCCUAGGGUGAUAAGAGUAAAUUUUCCAUAGCAGAAACUUGAGUCUGUGCCUUGAGCUAUCCCCAGGUAUUAUGGCAAACAAAGUAACCACUACCUUGGGAAUCAAUGCUAAUGGACAGACUUCUUUGCUUUAUGUCCCCCUUCAGUUGCUAGAGUAACAUUACAAUGUUCCAAGGACUGAUCUGGGGCUGACAUUCCAAAUAGAACUCCAAGUUAAUGGAGGAUUAUCUGAAUUUCUUGUAAAUAAACUUUUUCUGCCUCAGGUCACUAAAUCUUGUAUUUUUCCCAACAUAAAAUUUCUAUCCCAAAGAAACCCAAUACAGGUAAGGAAAAAGACGAUAACAACAUUACAUUCAAAAGAAUUCCUCCUCAGGCCCUCCAGCAAAGUCCUGUGACUGGACAGUUUACAUACUGCCUAUGUACAGAUGCACACAAUUAUUGCAGCAAAAUUUACUGUGCAGAUGAUCUGAAGUGACCUAAUUUACCACAAAUGCCAAAAAGACUAAUUCUCCCAGUAUUUGCUGGAUUCGUUAAUGGGCCUUUCCCUAAAAACAACAGUAACAACAACAAAAGCUUUAAAAAACACUAUUUUAGAAAAAAACAUAGGAAUCCUUCAAGAAUUCUACGCAGUUAUUUGUAAUUUACUACACAUAGUCCUAAAUCUUUUGGAAUUUUUCAACAAGCAAUAAAGGGUCUCUACCUAAACAGAUUUUUUUAAAAAUAUUCCAAAGAGGAGUCACACAGCUCAGUCACUGUAUUUGGAUGCAGUUACUGUGCAUUUUAUUCAUAGGAAUGCAUAGCAUGGCUUGCUGUUACCAAAAAAGACUGCUGGAUGGCAGAUUUUUAAAGAGUAAGCAACUGAAGUGUAAAAAGUCCUAGCAAUGAUAGAUUUCAAAAUCCCUUAAGAAUUUGCCCCCCUCAACCCUCCUGACUUUUGGAUUCCAAGGAGAAUAAACAUGACGGCUUAUAAUUAGCCUGACAGUGUUAAGGGUAUCACAGAUGCUCUUGGCCAACUGUGAUUUCAGAGUGAAAUCUGUGUCUUUUCUGUUAACAUUCAAGCUCUUUUCUGCAAGAUGGACUGUGGUACCCUUUUCCAGAUUGCACACACUUGGUUUCACAGCAUGUCUCAAGCAUAUAUAAAGGAGGACCUAGAUGCUGUGCAGAUGAAUAACAUGUUUGGGUCAGAUUACAGCUUAGAAAAUGCCCAAACAAACAACAAAAACAGGCUAAUUCCAUGAAAUGCACAAUGUGAGUGGAUAUCACAUUCCAAUACAAUUUCCAGUCCAAUUCAAAAAUUUGACUUACCAACUGUCUGUCACCUGUUUAGCAAAACAGACACAUUCUGUUAGCCUGAGAAAAUUCCCUGGGCUUUCUCAGCUUCCCUGCCAGAAAUUUUUAGUUUGUUUCCAAAGAAACUAUGUCUUUCAUCCAGCCCUUCCCUAAGGGCUUCUUUACCUGGGGGCUUUGGCAAUUUCAAAAUGAGUUCCCAUCAUAGCUCAGCGGUUACCGAACCCGACAAGUAUCCAUGAGUCCAUGAGGAUGCAGUUUUGAUUCCUGGCCUCACUCAGUGUUGUGUGAGCUGUGGCUCCAAUUCGAUCCCUAGUGUGGGAACCUCCUUAUGCCAUGGGUGCAACCCUAAAAAGAUAAAAAAAAAAGCAGAGGAGUUCCCGUCGUGGCGCAGUGGUUAACGAAUCCGACUAGGAACCGUGAGGUUGCGGGUUCCGUCCCUGCCCUUGCUCAGUGGGUUAACGAUCUGGCGUUGCCGUGAGCUGUGGUGUAGGUUGCAGACGCGGCUCGGAUCCCGAGUUGCUGUGGCUCUGGCGUAGGCCGGCGGCUACAGCUCCGAUUCGACCCCUAGCCUGGGAACCUCCAUAUAUCGUGGGAGCGGCCCAAGAAACAGCAAAAAGACAAAAAAAAAAAAAAAAAAAAAAAA
Molecule: long non-coding RNA, 3006 nt
Filed under: Sus scrofa (pig)
Lineage: Eukaryota; Metazoa; Chordata; Mammalia; Artiodactyla; Suidae
Description: lncRNA (ENSSSCG00060071839.1)
Source: RNAcentral